CCGCUAAGGAGUGUGUAACAACUCACCUGCCGAAUGAACUAGCGCUGAAAAUGGAUGGCGCUCAAGCGGACCACCGAUCCCCGACCAACGGCGUGAGUGCUUUGCGCCGUUGAGUAGGAGGGCGUGGGGCUCGUGAAGCAGCCGCGGGAGUGAUCCCCGGUGAAACGGGCUCUAGUGCAGAUCUUGGUGGGAGUAGCAAAUAUUCAAAUGAGAACUUUGAAGACUGAAGUGGACAAGGGUUCCAUGUGAACAGCAGUUGGACAUGGGUGAGCCGAUCCUAAGGGGUAGGGCAACUCUGCGAACAGCUUCAUUCUGUGAGGCUUCCUACCGAAAGGGAAACGGGUUAACAUUCCCGUGCCAGCGGAAGGCGAAUGGGUGGCAACACGUCCGAGCCCGGCGACGUCGGCGGAGGCCCCGGGAAGAGUUCUCUUUUCUUCUUAACUGGCCGUUACCCUGGAAUCGGAUUGCCCGGAGCGAGGGUUCUGCGUCAGGGAAAGCCUCCUAAGUCUUGGGAGGUCCGGUGCGCUUUCGACGGCCCUUGAAAAGCCGGGGGCGCGUUUGAUGUUCUUUCCUGGUCGUACCCAUAACCGCCUCAGGUGUCCCAGGUCAAGAGCCUCUAGUUGAUAGAACAAUGUAGAUAAGGGAAGUCGGCAAA
RNAcentral lists this ribosomal RNA (655 nucleotides) under Oxyrrhis marina. RNAcentral's name for it is "partial Eukaryotic large subunit ribosomal RNA". It matches the Rfam family "Eukaryotic large subunit ribosomal RNA", at positions 1268 to 1921 of the family's 3401-position model. Lineage: Eukaryota; Dinophyceae; Oxyrrhinales; Oxyrrhinaceae. The record is from RNAcentral.